GUCCCCGUAGCUCAAUUGGCAGAGCAGGAGGUUGUGGCCCUCUUGGUUGUGGGUUCGAAGCCCGCCGGGGACU
This 73-nucleotide transfer RNA is filed under the name Candidatus Gottesmanbacteria bacterium RBG_16_52_11. RNAcentral's name for it is "tRNA-His". It matches the Rfam family "tRNA". Rfam says of the family: Transfer RNA (tRNA) molecules are approximately 80 nucleotides in length. Their secondary structure includes four short double-helical elements and three loops (D, anti-codon, and T loops). The record is from RNAcentral. Lineage: Bacteria; Candidatus Gottesmaniibacteriota.